Molecule: transfer RNA, 88 nt
Filed under: Desulfobulbaceae bacterium
Lineage: Bacteria; Pseudomonadati; Thermodesulfobacteriota; Desulfobulbia; Desulfobulbales; Desulfobulbaceae
Description: tRNA-Leu
Rfam family: tRNA
About the family: Transfer RNA (tRNA) molecules are approximately 80 nucleotides in length. Their secondary structure includes four short double-helical elements and three loops (D, anti-codon, and T loops). Further hydrogen bonds mediate the characteristic L-shaped molecular structure. tRNAs have two regions of fundamental functional importance: the anti-codon, which is responsible for specific mRNA codon recognition, and the 3' end, to which the tRNAs corresponding amino acid is attached (by aminoacyl-tRNA synthetases). tRNAs cope with the degeneracy of the genetic code in two manners: having more than one tRNA (with a specific anti-codon) for a particular amino acid; and 'wobble' base-pairing, i.e. permitting non-standard base-pairing at the 3rd anti-codon position.
Source: RNAcentral
GCCUGGAUGGUGGAAUAGGUAGACACCUGGGACUUAAAAUCCCAUGGAGCGUAGCUCCGUGCGAGUUCGAUUCUCGCUCCAGGCACCA